This 2878-nucleotide long non-coding RNA is filed under the name Setaria viridis. RNAcentral describes it as "long non-coding RNA (SVIR_LNC010192)". The record is from RNAcentral. Lineage: Eukaryota; Viridiplantae; Streptophyta; Magnoliopsida; Poales; Poaceae.
GCCGCCGAUCCGGCCGGACCAAGCGACGUCGAUUGGCCUAAGCACGCCACGCCUCGCUAGCUCCAGUCCCGUGACCUCGAGCUCCGAAACAAACGUGGUAGGAUGGCAACAGCUGAGUUGGGGGCAACAUGGCAACUCCCGGUGAAAUAUGACUAGAUCAUACAGCCACGCAAAACAGAAUACAGGUCUCGGAAAACACCAAAGCUAACAGCUACGUGUACCGUCCCUGACUUUCACGAACACACAAAAGAGUUCAAGCAAGCACUGUGGUCACUGGAUCCAUGUUUUCUGUGGUACAUAGAAACUCAAUGCUGGGCAUAACUUUGCAGAGACGACCGCCUCAUUCCAGUAGCACCUAACAGCAAUAGCAAAACACGUUAGUUAGACACGUACUUCAAAAGAGAAUAUUUCUGAAUCAAGAAAAAGGCUAUAAAUCAUGCAAAAAUCGGUAUAUGUGGACACAGGGCAAUCAUAAAUCAUCGUGAACACUGCAAUUAUAAAGCUCACCAGAUGCACCAAUUUUUUCAGAACCAAGAAUGUAAAAACACGAGCCUGCAGUUUAUUAUUCCUAAAUCUGUGUAUUAGCAACUAGCCGUUAAUGUCACCACAAAGAAUUUUCUCCAAGGUUAUCCACAAAUAUUGCCAGUGAUUACCACACAAGGAAGUUGAAAUUGCAGGUUGUUCAUGUAACCAGUUGGGAGACCUAAAUCAUAAUAAAUGGUCUAUUCAUUUCAAUAUAGUAACAUAACAGAUAUGGCCUCAGGCUUAUUAUAAAGAAUAUGCCCUUUCUACAACUUAAACAGAUUUUAUCCGGGUAAAAGUAUAUCAACGACAAUGAGAUCUAGACAAACCUAGAAAACGCAUUCCAGUUGUUACCAUUAUAACAAAUGACCUGGUUACCAGAAAAGGCAAGAUUGAACAAAAGUGUAUAGGAUAGCUGGCAACUAAGCAGAAUGUUUCACUCUAUGCUGCUAUGCAUCAUUAGGACAUGUUCAACAAAUUCUAGCACUAUUCCCAAAAAAAAACAAUUCUAGCACUAACAGUAAAUUAUAAAUGAGUCCCUCGGCAAAUAUCUUUACAACCAUUGCAGAGAUGAUAGACCACACUUGCAUGGCAAUAUCAAAACUACAUCGGAUGCAUCAUACCAUUUCCAUUAGCAGAUACGGAACAAUAGCAGUGCAUGUGCAUAUGGAUGACUCAGGUUAGGACACACUGACAAAGCGUGAUAGUUGGCCAAUUGCAAAACUGAAAUGUAGAAUUUAUAACGUCCAUGAAACUGUUACAAGCAACAAAUAACCAGGGGCUAACACUAUCCAACACUAAUCCAUCCACAUAUCAAUAAUUCUGAGGCUCAGGAUUCAGAAUGUCACACAAAAACAACAAAAUCAUAAAUAUGACUACCAUUGUGCACAUCAAUCAAUCGCCCUACAUGUGCGAGACAUUGACACAGCAUGAGAACAGAGAAUCGGCCAUUAAGGUGAAAUGAAUUCAACAUAUAAACAACAUUGAAAGUGUUUGCUCAUUCAAAAGAUCAACCCUCCUUUGGGAGCAGCACAGUCUAUCCCUCAACUGCAAAUUCCCAUGAUGUGAAUGUGAUUAUGUUUACAAAUCCCUAGGGUAAUCAGUAUUACUGGUCUGUCCCAGGAGAACAAAUGUGAAGCAGAAACAUUUAAAUUUGACUACUUGGUUUUAAAACUCUCAAUCAAUGAACAGUUAUUCCGGGUAAGAACAGACUAAAUUUAGCCUUUAGAAUUAGCACUUUAUUUUGAAAACUGGAAUAGAACAGGCAAGAAUCUGUCCCUAUAACAGAAAACUGGAAAAAGAUACCAACCAUGGUUCAGGAUUUUUCACAAAUAUCAAAAUAUGUAAUUCGAAACCCUGUUUGUGGUAGAAAAGAGCAUUUACUUUCUAUUCCUAAAUUUAGUGGUGCUUGUUUAGUUUCUUUCCCCAAUCCAACCUAGUGUUCUCAAAGUUCUAAUAAUAAGCGUACACACAAAAAAGAAUAUCUCAAAAAACUAUGCAUGCAAAGAUCCUAGUGGUUGCUAAUAGACAGAUAAUCCAUCUGGUGAACUGACAGGUAACUGCUAUUCACCCUAAUAAUCCGAACUGCAAUCAUCCUAGUCAACCCUCACCCAUUUUGCUAGUUUCUAGAAAUCAGUUUAAACUAGAAAUCCAUUCACCCUUUUUGCAAGUCUAUAGAAAUCUCGGAAUUCAAACUAGGAUGAGAAGCGCCAAGUUGAUUUAUCCAAGAUGAAUCUAACCAAGUCCACAUCUAUAAAACUGAACACAAACCGACCGCGAUUCAUACACGCGAACAGACAGAACAAAACCACGCUAUUGUCAAGUCAACUAUUCGAAAUCGCAGAGAUGCAUCUAUCACGACCGUCGGCGCCCAGUCAACAGAGGGAUCAAACGCCCGCAAAGCAACCGGACACACCAAACCCUGGAGAGGAGAGCAGCAGGGUCCGGGGGCUCACCUUUGGGGGGCGGGGUCGGCAUGGGGACGGGCGACCCUACAGCUCGAGCUUGAGCUCCUGGACGUCGCCGUCGCGGGUGAGGAAGUGGAGGAUGUAGGGGGCGGCACGGAUGACGGCGACGCAGGAGGCCAUGACGAUGAGGUGCGACCGCAGCUGCUUGUACGCCGCCUCCUUGCUCGGGCGCCGCGGAAUCUGGCCUAGGAACAUCUUGAUUCGCUUCUCUUCUCCGAAUCCGGUGCGCGGCGACGGGCGGCGAGGGUUUCGAGCUCUGGAGGCGGCGAGGCUUAAACCCUAGCGAUCCGAUGCGAUUGGUUCUGUGACGGUGGGUGGGAGGAGGGGUCGGGUCCUUUUACCCGCAGGUCCCUGGAGAACUGCAGAUUUCUGGAGUAUAGUGGGCCUCC